AGGUUAUUUUUCUCUCAAAUUCGUGUCUACCAACGCCCAAUUGAUUCUAGGUAACCCAACAUCCUGAGCUAUCUGCAUUAUGCUAAAGCUUCUCAAUAGGUAAGCCGUUCACGUUAUGCUGGGUAAUUGACAUUUUUUUUUUGCAUUUCUAGUGGUUUUGUCACCAAGAUUGGUACUUAUGUUCUUACUAAAAGAACAAUAACAGUGCCUUACAUGAUCGAUAAGAGGAGAAAAAGAAUUCAUUUGAAGAAUUACCCGUACAUUUAGUUGCUAGCUGAUGUAAAGCUGCUUAACACUUCCCCUAUGGCAAACUUCUAUAGUUUUCUGACUGAGAAGUCUACAAAAGGUAUUGCAAAUUGGAAACAGUGAGCUUUUGAUGCACAUAUCCAUUGAAUUUCUCAAUACUCUUCAUUUGUUAUUUUGCUCUCCAAUCAUAGUUUCUUUUUGAUAUACCUGCUGUGCGCCUGCUCCAUAAGUUGUUCAUAGCAAGCUGAUUGUCUUCUUAAUGUUUCUCCCCAUCUAUUAUUUUAAUCACUUUAUUUAAUGUUUAUGAUCCAAG
This 559-nucleotide long non-coding RNA is filed under the name Nicotiana benthamiana. Its description in RNAcentral is "long non-coding RNA (NBEN_LNC003333)". Lineage: Eukaryota; Viridiplantae; Streptophyta; Magnoliopsida; Solanales; Solanaceae. The record is from RNAcentral.